UUCGGAUUACAAAUUACAUCAGUGUAUUGUUGCUACAUUUCAUUCUUUACUGGACAAGCAAUUGAAGUCGACUCCGGUAAUUUUUGGUUUAUUUGUUUAAAAGU
Strongylocentrotus purpuratus (purple sea urchin) is the source of this 104-nucleotide long non-coding RNA. RefSeq lists it as uncharacterized. The transcript has 3 exons. The record is from RefSeq and is a predicted model, not a curated record. Lineage: Eukaryota; Metazoa; Echinodermata; Echinoidea; Camarodonta; Strongylocentrotidae.